AACAUCGCGCACCUGCGGGAACCUGCGGAGGGAUCAUUAGUGAAUGAACUUGGUCAAGUUGUUGCUGGUUCUUUUAGAGCAUGUGCACACUUGGCUCUCGUUUCUAAACCACUUGUGCACCUUUUGUAGACUUGGGAGUUUGAUUCAAGAGUGAUCUUGGACCUUACGCUCUUGUCUAUGUCUUUUCAUGUCAUUUACUCUGUGUAUAAGAAUGUUUUCUAAGGUAUUUUUGAUGCCUUU
This 240-nucleotide unclassified non-coding RNA is filed under the name soil metagenome. RNAcentral describes it as "partial contains 5.8S ribosomal RNA, internal transcribed spacer 2, and large subunit ribosomal RNA". The record is from RNAcentral.